AAGAUUUUAAGUUAAAAAAACUAUUAAUUUUCAAAAUUAAAUAUAAAGAACCACCUUCUUUAAAUCUUA
This 69-nucleotide transfer RNA is filed under the name Diplectrona albofasciata. RNAcentral's name for it is "tRNA-Trp". The record is from RNAcentral. Lineage: Eukaryota; Metazoa; Arthropoda; Insecta; Trichoptera; Hydropsychidae.